UACGUAGGGUGCGAGCGUUGUCCGGAAUUAUUGGGCGUAAAGAGCUCGUAGGUGGCUUGUUGCGUCGACUGUGAAAACCCGCGGCUUAACUGCGGGCUUGCAGUUGAUACGGGCAGGCUAGAGUUCGGUAGGGGAGACUGGAAUUCCUGGUGUAGCGGUGAAAUGCGCAGAUAUCAGGAGGAACACCGGUGACGAAGGCGGGUCUCUGGGCCGAUACUGACGCUGAGGAGCGAAAGCGUGGGGAGCGAACAGG
Molecule: ribosomal RNA, 253 nt
Filed under: uncultured bacterium
Lineage: Bacteria
Description: partial 16S ribosomal RNA
Rfam family: Bacterial small subunit ribosomal RNA
Source: RNAcentral